GAGUCGGUGGCGGAAUGGAGAACGUAUCUGCAUAGAAUUCAUAAACCCACUUUAAUUUCAAGCAGAAGUUGCCUGUUCGAACCAGGCCCGAGUCG
Non-coding RNA from Crucibulum laeve, 95 nucleotides. NCBI's taxonomy places the organism in Eukaryota, Fungi, Basidiomycota, Agaricomycetes, Agaricales, Nidulariaceae. The record is from the annotation of a GenBank genome assembly.